RNAcentral lists this ribosomal RNA (224 nucleotides) under Klebsiella pneumoniae. RNAcentral's name for it is "partial 23S ribosomal RNA". It matches the Rfam family "Bacterial large subunit ribosomal RNA", at positions 1 to 232 of the family's 2925-position model. Lineage: Bacteria; Pseudomonadati; Pseudomonadota; Gammaproteobacteria; Enterobacterales; Enterobacteriaceae. The record is from RNAcentral.
CGACUAAGCGUACACGGUGGAUGCCCUGGCAGUCAGAGGCGAUGAAGGACGUGCUAAUCUGCGAAAAGCGUCGGUAAGGUGAUAUGAACCGUUAUAACCGGCGAUGACCGAAUGGGGAAACCCAGUGCAAUUCGUUGCACUAUCGUUAACUGAAUACAUAGGUUAACGAGGCGAACCGGGGGAACUGAAACAUCUAAGUACCCCGAGGAAAAGAAAUCAACCGA